Panicum virgatum (switchgrass) is the source of this 1289-nucleotide long non-coding RNA. RefSeq lists it as uncharacterized. Lineage: Eukaryota; Viridiplantae; Streptophyta; Magnoliopsida; Poales; Poaceae. The transcript is spliced from 5 exons. The record is from RefSeq and is a predicted model, not a curated record.
UUUGUCCAUGUUUCCCUGGCGGGCGAGUGGCCGCCGGACGCGCGGCUUCCUGCUCGGCGCGAUGCCGGCGCGUGUGCGUCGCUCCCCCGCCCGGCGAGUCGGCCGCCAGGCGCGCGGCCACAUGCUCCGCGCGACGCGGGCGCGUGGGCUCCCCGCCCCGCUCACGGCUCCCACGCCAUUAUGUUGCGACCUCCCCACUCCGUUGAUUCUUCUGCCUGGACCGACCCGCCCCGCUCCCAUCCCACAUUCAGGACCAAGAUAAAGGAUAAGCUUGGCAAAUUAAACAAGGAGAAGUUGCUAGACUUUCAUGAACUACUCGAUAUUUGUGUUUCAAAAUCAACAAGGAAGCAGAUGCAUGUGCCCCCAAAACAUGGAGUCUGCACAUUAUUUUUCAAAUAUUAGGUAAACUCUUUGCUUUCUAUUUUUUACAUAAAGUGCUAUAUGUUUAUUAUUAUUUUGAUUCACAUUGUCGAUGGUGACCGAGGACUUCACUUUAAGGGUGAUGGUCCUGCUAAUCAGGGUUUUUGAUGAAGUGUGCGUGCCACCCCUCAGGUGGACAAAAUGAAGGGUGGAUUCCUUGUGGAUGUUAAUGUAAGAUCAUCAGAACUUUGAUCGUAGAAUUUUUCUAUGUAAAUAAAACUAAGCAAUUUGAAUAUUUUUUAGGUGUUAUAUCAUGCAGAUAUGGUAUGAAGACACAUUAAUUCUUACUUAAACCAUGAGCACCUUUAUAUUGAAAUAACUAGUUUCUGGGUAAAAAUCUUAAUGUAUAUCUGUCUUAAAUUUUCUUUGGAAAUUGUGUUAUAAGAUCUGAUAUUUUCAUUUCUUUUAUGGCGGACAAAUUUAUCUAUGAGCUACUUUAUAUUCAAACAAGCUACUUCCUCACCCUUACUGCCCUCCUUGUUUAUAUGGUAAAUGAACUUAUCCAAGUGCUGCAGUAUAUUCAGAUCUAUUGACCAUUUUGAGAUUGGAUGCAUGGAAUUUUUUUUCCAGUUUAGUUAAUGACAUGCAUCAUGCGCUUUUGUUGUCAUGACUGGGUUCCUCCAUUGCCAAGAAAUUGUAUACUCCCGCCACUUUCUUUUCUGUGUGUUGUCUCAAAUCAUAGGCUACUUAUUUUGUUAACUGGAUGUGCCAGGAUAAAAAAAUUAAUGUUAACUUUGUUGUCAGCCCAAAAGUUUUAUAUGUAAUUUUUUUUGUUUAUUGUGUUUCUACUGUUUUUGUUUGUACUGAAGUUGGGAGAGAAAUUAACUUUGUUGUCAGCCCAAAAGCUGUAUAUGUAACAUGUUUUUUUU